UACGUAGGGUGCGAGCGUUGUCCGGAAUUAUUGGGCGUAAAGAGCUCGUAGGCGGUCUGUCGCGUCGGAUGUGAAAAUCCAGGGCUCAACCCUGGACCUGCAUUCGAUACGGGCAGACUAGAGUUCGGCAGGGGGAGACUGGAAUUCCUGGUGUAGCGGUGAAAUGCGCAGAUAUCAGGAGGAACACCGAUGGCGAAGGCAGGUCUCUGGGCAUUAACUGACGCUGAGGAGCGAAAGCAUGGGGGAGCGAACAGG
RNAcentral lists this ribosomal RNA (255 nucleotides) under uncultured bacterium. Its description in RNAcentral is "partial 16S ribosomal RNA". It matches the Rfam family "Bacterial small subunit ribosomal RNA", at positions 524 to 776 of the family's 1533-position model. The record is from RNAcentral.